ACACUCCUACGGGAGGCAGCAGUGGGGAAUAUUGGACAAUGGGCGCAAGCCUGAUCCAGCCAUGCCGCGUGAGUGAUGAAGGCCCUAGGGUUGUAAAGCUCUUUCACCGGAGAAGAUAAUGACGGUAUCCGGAGAAGAAGCCCCGGCUAACUUCGUGCCAGCAGCCGCGGUAAUACGAAGGGGGCUAGCGUUGUUCGGAAUUACUGGGCGUAAAGCGCACGUAGGCGGAUCGAUCAGUCAGGGGUGAAAUCCCAGGGCUCAACCCUGGAACUGCCUUUGAUACUGUCGAUCUGGAGUAUGGAAGAGGUGAGUGGAAUUCCGAGUGUAGAGGUGAAAUUCGUAGAUAUUCGGAGGAACACCAGUGGCGAAGGCGGCUCACUGGUCCAUUACUGACGCUGAGGUGCGAAAGCGUGGGGAGCAAACAGGAUUAGAAACCCGUGUAGUCCCAUG
RNAcentral lists this ribosomal RNA (450 nucleotides) under uncultured organism. RNAcentral's name for it is "partial 16S ribosomal RNA". It matches the Rfam family "Bacterial small subunit ribosomal RNA", at positions 333 to 799 of the family's 1533-position model. The record is from RNAcentral.